RNAcentral lists this ribosomal RNA (468 nucleotides) under uncultured bacterium. Its description in RNAcentral is "partial 16S ribosomal RNA". It matches the Rfam family "Bacterial small subunit ribosomal RNA", at positions 28 to 507 of the family's 1533-position model. The record is from RNAcentral.
GACGAACGCUGGCGGCGUGCUUAACACAUGCAAGUCGAACGGAAAGGCCCUGCUUUUGUGGGGUGCUCGAGUGGCGAACGGGUGAGUAACACGUGAGUAACCUGCCCUUGACUUUGUGAUAACUUCAGGAAACUGGGGCUAAUACCGGAUAGGAUCUCCUGCUGCAUGGUGGGGGUUGGAAAGUUUCGGCGGUUGGGGCUGGACUCGCGGCUUAUCAGCUUGUUGGUGGGGUAGUGGCUUACCAAGGCUUUGACGGGUAGCCGGCCUGAGAGGGUGACCGGGCACAUUGGGACUGCGAUACGGACCAGACGCCUACGGGAGGCAGCAGUCGGGAAUAUUGCGCAAUGGGCGGAAGCCUGAUGCAGAAACGCCGCGUGCGGGAUGACGGGCUUCGGGUUGUAAACCGCUUUCGCCUGUGACGAAGCGUGAGUGACGGUAAUGGGUAAGGAAGCACCGGCUAACUACGUG